GUCCCCGGCCGGCCUCCGUCGCCUCCGGUUCCAUCAUCCCUAGCCAAUAAUAAGGUAGCUGGGAACGUAACGAUAUGGCCAAGCCCGUGAAGCUGACUGCUGCUGGUUCCCUCCCGCUGAUGAAGGCCUGCCUCAGCUCCGGCGGGCGGCACUUGGGCUCGUUACCCUGCGGGAUGGCGACGAUGAUGCUCACGCAACGGGGCAGAGCUUCACGCCCUGGGGUGAACAGAGGUACACUGCUUCACAUGUAUACAAAGUGCAAAUCACAUGUGCAUGCAUGCACAUAUCUAUCACGUGUCGUUGCGCUACCAUUCCUCGCAAAAGGUCCCAUUACCAGAUUUGGAGUUCCUUUGUGAGAGAAGGUUGCGAGAUUCGGAGGCUUCAAUUGAUUCCCUCUGUCUGUAGCACACAGAUCGACAGCAACACCCCUCGAUAUCAUCGUCCUCAGUCUACUACUCACCGCCGGCCACCGCCCUCGGUUCGUCGUCGUCCUCGUCUCUAGCUCCGGCCCUGCUUCUCGCUGUGGCCGUUCGACGGCGGCGCGCGCCCUCUAGUCUUCUUUCCGGCAGGCAGCCUAAAUUCCCAAGACUAAUGGCCAACACCAACGCCGCCGCUAAUAAGCUCUGUGGUGGUCGUUCCAUGCCACCGGCGGCUUGCUGCCGCCACUCGGGCGGCCAACGGUUCCUCAGCUCGUUGCCUUGCUGGAUGAUGCCGUCGACGCAACUGGCCGGAGAUUUGCGCCGCCGCCCUGCUAAGUUCACGAGAGGUAGGCAUUCGAUCACAUUGCCAUGCAUGCUCUCUUGGUCGUCGCGCGCCCCAUUUGUAGCUCACCUGUUUAUCCACAAACUUGCUCGUAGUCCACCCAAACUGCAAGUCACGAACUCACGAUCGAUGUGCUAUAGACUGCUAGUGCAAACCUCUACCUCUUCUUUCUUUAUUUAUUCGCGUUUUCAGAAAAACGAAAGAAAGAAAGAAAGGCUGACACGCUUACACGCAUCUCUCGUUCUCUCUCAUCUUCAAGUGGCACAAGUUCACAAGACGUUGGAGGUGGAAGAACCUGCAAACAGUUCCGCCAAAAACUGUAAGAGACCAAACUUAACCUCUUUUUGCGUCGAAUUAAACUUGAUCUGAUUGUUCAAAAUUUCAAACUCAUAUAUGCAACGACUUUCUUGCUACAGUUAGCGGUGGUAUAAUAAGCACGCAGCAUAACAAGGGCACGUCGUCAGAGAGUACGAUAAGGAAGCAGCUUCAGCAAGUCGAUGUGCUUCAGAACAUGGGGAUUUCAAGGCAUUUCGCUGCUGAGAUCAAGUGUAUCCUGGACAUGACAUACAGGUAUGAAACUUGACUAGUAUAAAUAUUAGCCGUCGCUUAUUAUUCUCUUUAACAACUCAUGUACUUAAUUAAUUGACUGCAAACCAAUUUACAGCUGCUGGUUACAGAGAUAUGAGGAGAUUACGCUAGACGUGGAGACUUGUGCUAUGGCAUUUCGGAUUCUUCGGAUGAACGGAUACAAUGUUUCUGCUGGUAAGUCUUAUUGUUGGAAAUUUCUACCUUGUCAGAUAUAUACUUACUCCAUACCUUGGUCACACAAAUAUUUGACGAUUUUUUUUAUCAAGGUUUGCUGAAACUUUUUGAAAAUUUGAUCAUCUUCAAAACAUCUAGUCUGGAAACACAAAAAUCAUAUGUGUAGAUUUAUAGGUCUUGAUUACUUUCAUAAUCUCACAUAAUUAUUAGAUGCUAAUUGUCAUAAUAAUAUUACAGUAAAAAAUUACUGGGCAAAGUUGCACCAUGAAGACUAAAAAAAUUCAACAACGUAAACUAUUUUCUUAGUGGAGUUUUUUUUUUAAAUUUUCUUAGCUGCUUUCAGGUUUCAACACACUAACCCACAUGAAAAUGUUAUGCAGAUGAGCUGUAUGAUGUUGCUCAAGCGUCCUGGUUCCAUCCUUCACUUGAAGGAUAUUUGAGUGAUACAAGAUCCCUAUUGGAGUUACACAAGGCUUCGAAAGUCAGUAUCUCAGAAGAUGAGUCUAUCCUGGACACCAUAGGCUCAUGGUCAGGCUGGUUGCUGAAGGAACAGCUGAGAUCUGGUGCGCUGCAGAGCACUCCACUCUUCAGAGAGGUAACAAUUUAGUGAACGUCUAUUGCUACCACGGAUGGGAUUUGGCAAUUCAGAAAGCUUUAAUGAGAUGUGUAUUUUUCAGGUGGAACAUGCACUGGAAUGCCCUUUCUACACCACAUUGGAUCGUCUUGACCACAGGAGGAACAUCGAAAAUUUUGAUGCCACAGGACACCAAAUGCUAAAAACAUCAUACUUGUAAGUUCCUAAUUUCUUAUUGUUCCACAAAGCACACGGUUCCUUCAAACCAUUGCAAUGUAUAUACUCAACGCCAACUGUGUAUAUAUUUGUUGAAACAGGUCUUGUUAUAACAACAAUGAUAUUCUAGCAUUGGGUGUCAGAGAUUUCAGUUCCUCUCAGUUUACUUACCAGGAAGAACUUCGUCAUAUCGACAGGUAACAAAUCUGAAUCUCAGGCCUAGCGUCCUAUGCAAAACAGCCUUCAGCAGCUCAGCUUACUUAAUUUGUGGUGCAAAAUUUGUUGUCGCAUGCAGCUGGGUAAAAGAGAGCAGGCUGGACCAGUUACCAUUCGCACGGCAGAAGUUGGCGUACUUCUACCUCUCUGCUGCUGGCACCAUAUUCACUCCUGAACUGUCGGAUGCUCGCAUUCUAUGGGCCAAAAAUGGCGUGCUCACAACCGUUGUCGAUGACUUUUUUGAUGUUGGAGGAUCAACAGAAGAACUGGAAAACCUAGUCACAUUGGUCGAGAUGUAUGGUCCUCAUCCUCCUUUACCCCAAUGAGUUAAGCACAUGUGAUGGUUUCUUGUUCUAAUUCUUUUUUAUUUUUGAUUUUUCAAUGAUUUUUGCAGGUGGGACGAGCAUCACAAAAUUGAGUUUUACUCUGAACAUGUCGAGAUUGUCUUUUCUGCAAUUUACACUUCAGUAAACGAGCUUGGAGAAAAGGCUUCUUUGCUGCAGGACCGUGAUGUCACAAAACACCUAGUAGAAAUAGUAAGUCUCGUGUACAGUUUCAUCUGCCAAUCUUUUUACAUUUAUAUUUUUUUUCUGAUUUCGAAAUUGACAAGUUUCAAUGACCUAUGUAGUGGCUGGAUUUGCUGAGGUCCAUGAUGACCGAGGUAGAGUGGCGGACGAGCAGCUAUGUUCCAACAGCAGAAGAAUACAUUACAAAUGCGGCUUUGACAUUUGCACUAGGCCCCAUUGUGCUUCCAGCAUUGUAUUUUGUUGGGCCAAAGAUCCCAGAAUCUGUUGUCAAAGACCCAGAGUACAACGAGUUGUUCAGGCUAAUGAGCACAUGUGGCCGUCUUUUGAACGAUGCUCAGACUUACGAGGUAUGCUGCACUUCAAAUUUGAAACUUAUGUAAAACAAACAAAGGAUUUAACAAUUGACACGCACUGAUGUUGUAAUGCAGAGGGAGUACAAGGAGGGCAAGGUGAACAUCGUUUCUAUCCUCGUUCAUCAGAGUGGCGGCUCCAUGUCCAUAGCGGAUGCCAGAAGGGAGAUUCAGAAGCCCAUCGACACCUGCAGGAGAGACCUGCUAAGGCUGGUUCUUAGCAAGGAAGGUGCCGUCCCUAGGCCCUGCAAGGAGCUGUUCUGGAAGAUGUGCAAGGUGUGCUACUUCUUCUACUCCCGGGGUGACGCGUUCAGCUCGCCGGAGGCGAAGGCCAGAGAAGUGGACGCGGUGGUCAACCUGCCCCUACAGCUCAAAGGAAGCAAUGCAAAUAAACUGCCUGUUUUGUGGGAGUGAUCAUCAAACCUUGAUCUGAUCCCUGCUUGUUUGGUUAACCG
RNAcentral lists this long non-coding RNA (3862 nucleotides) under Setaria viridis. RNAcentral's name for it is "long non-coding RNA (SVIR_LNC008459)". Lineage: Eukaryota; Viridiplantae; Streptophyta; Magnoliopsida; Poales; Poaceae. The record is from RNAcentral.